CCACUGGAACGGUGGCUAAUACCGGAUAAGCCGAUUGGUGAAAGAUUUAUUGCCCGAAGAGGAGCUCGCGUCUGAUUAGCUAGUUGGUGAGGUAAGAGCUCACCAAGGCAGCGAUCAGUAGCUGGUCUGAGAGGACGAUCAGCCACACUGGGACUGAGACACGGCCCAGACUCCUACGGGAGGCAGCAGUGGGGAAUUUUCCGCAAUGGGCGAAAGCCUGACGGAGCAAGACCGCGUGAGGGAGGAAGGCUCUUGGGUUGUAAACCUCUUUUCUCAGGGAAGAAGCUCUGACGGUACCUGAGGAAUCAGCCUCGGCUAACUCCGUGCCAGCAGCCGCGGUAAUACGGAGGAGGCAAGCGUUAUCCGGAAUUAUUGGGCGUAAAGCGUCCGCAGGUGGCGAUUCAAGUCUGCUGUCAAAGCACGGGGCUUAACUCCGUAAAGGCAGUGGAAACUGAAUAGCUAGAGUGCCGUAGGGGUAGAGGGAAUUCCCGGUGUAGCGGUGAAAUGCGUAGAGAUCGGGAAGUACAUCGGUGGCGAAAGCGCUCUACUGGACGGCAACUGACACUCAGGGACGAAAGCUAGGGGAGCGAAUGGGAUUAGAUACCCCAGUAGUCAGA
RNAcentral lists this ribosomal RNA (617 nucleotides) under Microcoleus sp. tnw-1. RNAcentral describes it as "bacterial SSU rRNA". It matches the Rfam family "Bacterial small subunit ribosomal RNA", at positions 147 to 798 of the family's 1533-position model. Lineage: Bacteria; Bacillati; Cyanobacteriota; Cyanophyceae; Oscillatoriales; Microcoleaceae. The record is from RNAcentral.